RNAcentral lists this long non-coding RNA (983 nucleotides) under Numida meleagris (helmeted guineafowl). Its description in RNAcentral is "lncRNA (ENSNMEG00000010541.1)". Lineage: Eukaryota; Metazoa; Chordata; Aves; Galliformes; Numididae. The record is from RNAcentral.
AACAGGACAAGAAGCUCAACAAAGGCCCAGAGCUGCCACUAUUACAAGGCAGCAAAUGGCAGUGAAAAGCAGGAUUUCCUUGACCCUUUUGCUCUGCUCUCACUCCCUGUGCUCCAUUUCAGGCAGCGGCCAAGCCGUGUCCUGACUCAGCUGCCCUGCACACUGCUGCACCUGCUCAUGAGCAUUCAUACCCAUGUGAUUAGCCAGGGCCGUGGCCUGGGGGAGGUGCAUGCUGCACUCACCAAUGGCCCAGGCUGCAGUACUGGCUGCUCAUGACAGAAGAAGGGACUGGCAAGUGGUGAAACUGGAAUGCACCACUUUUAGUUGUUGGGAAGACAAAUGUCUGUGAGCUGAUACAAGAGAAGCAAUCUGCUUGAAACAGUCUCAUCAGAAAAGUUGUACAGGCAGAUGGGGACAUUCAAGAAGUCAGCUGAGAGAGACACGUGUGAAGUUCAGGGACAUCACCAAACAGACCAACAUGAGAAGAAUACAGACUUUUGUACAUAUUUAAAGGAGAUCUUCAAAAGCCACCCGUAUGUGAUUCUGGGCAGACUGCUCUAGAUGACCCUGCCUGAGGACCAGACGACUUUCCAGCCAACUCAAGCAGUCUAUGAAAUGAGAGAAGAUAGUUGAAACUCUUUAAAGAACAGAAUCUGAAAUUAACGUAUGGUCACUAAAAUGUGAUUUUUCUUAAAUAUAAAACAGGUUACUUAAAACAUACUAAAUUAGCAGCUAGCACAAAAAGCUAAGAAAACAUUCCUGGCCUUCUGACUGAAGUAACAUUACUCUAGCUUAAUCUGCUUCCCAUUUUAUAAAAGGAUUGUUAAUAUGCUGUUUCAUUUAUUGGUGCAUUAUCAUUGCAUAUGUUGAUCAAAUGAGAGCGUCAGAUAAAAUAAUUACAAAAUAUUCAGCCUUUUUUCUGGACUGGGCAAGCAAUCUUAAUUGUAAAUAAAAUUUUGAUUGCAAAUAUGGAGAGAUUUCCA